RNAcentral lists this ribosomal RNA (253 nucleotides) under uncultured bacterium. RNAcentral's name for it is "partial 16S ribosomal RNA". It matches the Rfam family "Bacterial small subunit ribosomal RNA", at positions 524 to 776 of the family's 1533-position model. The record is from RNAcentral.
UACGUAGGGGGCGAGCGUUAUCCGGAAUUACUGGGUGUAAAGGGAGCGUAGACGGUAAUGUAAGUCUGGAGUGAAAGGCGGGGGCCCAACCCCCGGACUGCUCUGGAAACUAUGUUACUAGAGUGCAGGAGAGGUAAGCGGAAUUCCUAGUGUAGCGGUGAAAUGCGUAGAUAUUAGGAGGAACACCAGUGGCGAAGGCGGCUUACUGGACUGUAACUGACGUUGAGGCUCGAAAGCGUGGGGAGCAAACAGG